RNAcentral lists this unclassified non-coding RNA (222 nucleotides) under rhizosphere metagenome. RNAcentral's name for it is "partial ribosomal RNA internal transcribed spacer region". The record is from RNAcentral.
GUAGGUGAACCUGCGGAAGGAUCAUUACAGAGUAUCAUGCCCUUCGGGGUAGAUCUCCACCCUUGAAUAACAUACCUUUGUUGCUUUGGCAGGACGCACUCGUGCCAGGGGCUUCGGCUCUUGAGCGCCCGCCGGACGACAAAUAACUCUUGUUCUUUACUGGCCUCUCUGAGUAUUUAUACAAAUAAGUUAAAACUUUCAACAACGGAUCUCUUGGUUCUG